Molecule: ribosomal RNA, 497 nt
Filed under: uncultured bacterium
Lineage: Bacteria
Description: partial 16S ribosomal RNA
Rfam family: Bacterial small subunit ribosomal RNA
Source: RNAcentral
GAUGAACGCUGGCGGCGUGCCUAAUACAUGCAAGUCGAGCGAACGGACGAGAAGCUUGCUUCUCUGAUGUUAGCGGCGGACGGGUGAGUAACACGUGGACAACCUACCUAUAAGACUGGGAUAACUUCGGGAAACCGGAGCUAAUACCGGAUAAUAUUUUGAACCGCAUGGUUCAAAAGUAAAAGACGGUCUUGCUGUCACUUAUAGAUGGAUCCGCGCUGCAUUAGCUAGUUGGUAAGGUAACGGCUUACCAAGGCAACGAUGCAUAGCCGACCUGAGAGGGUGAUCGGCCAUACUGGAACUGAGACACGGUCCAGACUACUACGGGAGGCAGCAGUAGGGAAUCUUCCGCAAUGGGCGAAAGCCUGACGGAGCAACGCCGCGUGAGUGAUGAAGGUCUUCGGAUCGUAAAACUCUGUUAUUAGGGAAGAACAUAUGUGUAAGUAACUGUGCACAUCUUGACGGUACCUAAUCAGAAAGCCACGGCUAACUACGUG